ACUCAAAGGAAUUGACGGGGGCCCGCACAAGCAGUGGAUUAUGUGGUUUAAUUCGAAGCAACGCGAAGAACCUUACCAGGGCUUGACAUACUCUGACAGCUCUAGAGAUAGAGUCUCCCUUCGGGGCAGAGAUACAGGUGGUGCAUGGUUGUCGUCAGCUCGUGUCGUGAGAUGUUUGGUUAAGUCCAAUAACGAGCGCAACCCCUGUUGCCAGUUGCCAUCAUUUAGUUGGGCACUCUGGCGAGACUGCCGCGGACAACGCGGAGGAAGGAGGGGACGACGUCAAAUCAUCAUGCCCCUUAUGUCCUGGGCUACACACGUAAUACAAUGGUAACGACAGAGGGCAGCUAACCCGCGAGGGCAUGCUAAUCCCUAAACGUUAUCUCAGUUCGGAUUGUAGGCUGAAACCCGCCUACAUGAAGUCGGAAUUGCUAGUAAUGGCAGGUCAGCAUACUGCCGUGAAUACGUUCCCGGGCCUUGUACACACCGCCCGU
This 494-nucleotide ribosomal RNA is filed under the name uncultured bacterium. Its description in RNAcentral is "bacterial SSU rRNA". It matches the Rfam family "Bacterial small subunit ribosomal RNA", at positions 899 to 1397 of the family's 1533-position model. The record is from RNAcentral.